RNAcentral lists this transfer RNA (173 nucleotides) under Methanocellales archaeon. Its description in RNAcentral is "tRNA-Leu". It matches the Rfam family "tRNA". From Rfam's summary of the family: Transfer RNA (tRNA) molecules are approximately 80 nucleotides in length. Their secondary structure includes four short double-helical elements and three loops (D, anti-codon, and T loops). RNAcentral also lists the same sequence under 1 other name. The record is from RNAcentral. Lineage: Archaea; Methanobacteriati; Methanobacteriota; Methanomicrobia; Methanocellales.
GCGGGGGUUGCCAAGUCUGGUCAAACAAAACCCUUUUCCACCUCGAUCAUAAGCGUUAAAGGGAAUGGAAAAAGGAUCAUUGGAGAAACACUAUUUCUCCUUGCUGGGUCAAAGGCGCAAGGUUGAGGGCCUUGUCUCGUAGGAGUUCGCGAGUUCAAAUCUCGUCCCCCGCA